RNAcentral lists this transfer RNA (76 nucleotides) under Ignicoccus islandicus DSM 13165. RNAcentral's name for it is "tRNA-Thr". It matches the Rfam family "tRNA". From Rfam's summary of the family: Transfer RNA (tRNA) molecules are approximately 80 nucleotides in length. Their secondary structure includes four short double-helical elements and three loops (D, anti-codon, and T loops). Further hydrogen bonds mediate the characteristic L-shaped molecular structure. tRNAs have two regions of fundamental functional importance: the anti-codon, which is responsible for specific mRNA codon recognition, and the 3' end, to which the tRNAs corresponding amino acid is attached (by aminoacyl-tRNA synthetases). tRNAs cope with the degeneracy of the genetic code in two manners: having more than one tRNA (with a specific anti-codon) for a particular amino acid; and 'wobble' base-pairing, i.e. permitting non-standard base-pairing at the 3rd anti-codon position. The record is from RNAcentral. Lineage: Archaea; Thermoproteati; Thermoproteota; Thermoprotei; Desulfurococcales; Desulfurococcaceae.
GCCGCCGUAGCUCAGCAGGCAGAGCGCCGGCCUUGUAAGCCGGUGGUCGCGGGUUCAAGUCCCGCCGGCGGCUCCA